RNAcentral lists this transfer RNA (71 nucleotides) under Neotoma lepida (desert woodrat). It matches the Rfam family "tRNA". From Rfam's summary of the family: Transfer RNA (tRNA) molecules are approximately 80 nucleotides in length. Their secondary structure includes four short double-helical elements and three loops (D, anti-codon, and T loops). Further hydrogen bonds mediate the characteristic L-shaped molecular structure. tRNAs have two regions of fundamental functional importance: the anti-codon, which is responsible for specific mRNA codon recognition, and the 3' end, to which the tRNAs corresponding amino acid is attached (by aminoacyl-tRNA synthetases). tRNAs cope with the degeneracy of the genetic code in two manners: having more than one tRNA (with a specific anti-codon) for a particular amino acid; and 'wobble' base-pairing, i.e. permitting non-standard base-pairing at the 3rd anti-codon position. Lineage: Eukaryota; Metazoa; Chordata; Mammalia; Rodentia; Cricetidae. The record is from Rfam by way of RNAcentral.
GGAGAGAUGGCUCAGAGGUUAAGAGCACUGGCUACUCCCAGAGGACCUGGGUUCAAUUCCCAGCACCCCCA